Long non-coding RNA from Xiphophorus hellerii (green swordtail), 359 nucleotides. RefSeq lists it as uncharacterized. Lineage: Eukaryota; Metazoa; Chordata; Actinopteri; Cyprinodontiformes; Poeciliidae. The transcript is spliced from 2 exons. The record is from RefSeq and is a predicted model, not a curated record.
CUUCCUCCACUGUGACAUCAACGAGGAAACCCCUGGAAACGGGCAAACACACCUGGCCCUCUUCUGACCCGAUCGGCCAGCAGAACCCGCUCUAUUCACCCAGGCUCCCCUCUUCCCGGUCUGCGCUCUCACGCUGCUUUUCCGCGCUCACCGUGGGAGGCUUUUUGAUGCUGGGAGUUCUGACCAAUUGCAGCCUGCGGGGCGGACUCAGCAAGUUUUGGAUCGGGCCAAUGGCGGGUGACCAGAGGCGGGCGUCAAGGUUGUGUUUGGUUUCCAUGGAGUAUUGUCCAUACGGAGAUUCCCGCACUUGGGACCCGUGUUUACACGUGCAACAUUAAAGUUUAGAGUCUCAUAUUUAA